This 429-nucleotide ribosomal RNA is filed under the name uncultured bacterium. Its description in RNAcentral is "bacterial SSU rRNA". It matches the Rfam family "Bacterial small subunit ribosomal RNA", at positions 355 to 776 of the family's 1533-position model. The record is from RNAcentral.
UCGAGAAUAAUUCGCAAUGGACGAAAGUCUGACGAUGCGACGCCGCGUGAACGAUGAAGGCCUUCGGGUUGUAACGUUCUGUUGUCCUGGAACAAGAGUAGGUAACGAAUAAUUACCUACGAUGAGGGUACAGGAAGAGGAAGCACCGGCUAAUUCCGUGCCAGCAGCUGCGGUAAUACGGAAGGUGCAAGCGUUAGUCGGAAUUACUGGGCGUAAAGGGUGCGUAGGCGGUGAUGUAAGUCGGACGUGAAAUUCCGGAGCUCAACUUCGGAACUGCAUUCGAAACUACAUCACUAGAGGAAUGGCGGAGAAAAUGGAAUUCCAUAUGUAGCGGUGAAAUGCGUAGAUAUAUGGAAGAACACCUGUGGCGAAAGCGGUUUUCUAGCCUUCUCCUGACGCUGAGGCACGAAAGCAAGGGGAGCAAACAGG